CAUAGUUCAUAGUUUUAUCCCAUU
Molecule: small nuclear RNA, 24 nt
Filed under: Arabidopsis thaliana (thale cress)
Lineage: Eukaryota; Viridiplantae; Streptophyta; Magnoliopsida; Brassicales; Brassicaceae
Description: snRNA_12453
Source: RNAcentral